CCAAUAGCGUAUAUUAAAGUUGUUGCAGUUAAAAAGCUCGUAGUUGAACUUCAGGCCUGGCUGGAUGGUCCGCCUUCUGGGUGAGUACUGUCUGUGGUCGGGUCCUACCUUCUGGCGAAGCGUCAUGGCCUUCACCGGCCGUGGCGGGGAGCCAGGACUUUUACUGUGAAAAAAUUAGAGUGUUUAAAGCAGGCUAACGCCUGAAUACAUUAGCAUGGAAUAAUGAAAUAGGACGUUGAUCCUAUUUUGUUGGUUUCUAGGAUUGACGUAAUGAUUAAUAGGGAUAGUUGGGGGCAUUAGUAUUCAAUUGUCAGAGGUGAAAUUCUUGGAUUUAUUGAAGACUAACUACUGCGAAAGCAUCUGCCAAGGAUGUUUUCAUUAAUCAAGAACGAAAGUUAGGGGAUCGAAGACGAUCAGAUACCGUCGUAGUCUUAACCAUAAACUAUGCCGACUAGGGAUCGGAUGAUGUUAAUUUUAUAAUGACUCAUUCGGCGCCUUACG
This 501-nucleotide ribosomal RNA is filed under the name uncultured Glomeromycotina. RNAcentral describes it as "partial small subunit ribosomal RNA". It matches the Rfam family "Eukaryotic small subunit ribosomal RNA", at positions 591 to 1092 of the family's 1831-position model. The record is from RNAcentral. Lineage: Eukaryota; Fungi; Glomeromycota.